Molecule: long non-coding RNA, 3053 nt
Organism: Anolis carolinensis (green anole)
Lineage: Eukaryota; Metazoa; Chordata; Lepidosauria; Squamata; Anolidae
Exons: 2
Source: RefSeq, a predicted model, not a curated record
GCCAGGGCCGGUCCAAUGUGGGACGCCGAUUACUCCUGGGCGUUGGGCGCAGGCCAGCAGGGGGCGCUGUCAAGGCCUGUUCCACGUGGGUGGCUUCGCCCCUGGCCGUCAGUCAUUGAGGCGGCUCCGCCCCGUUCCCUUCCCGAAUGAGCCCUUUGCAAGACUAUUCAUUCACUGAGGGAGAGGAGCCCCGCCCAGGGAGCGCAUUACGGGCAGGCCCCACCCCCGCCCUGGAAAGAUGGCUGCGCCCUUGUGGGGUGUCUGGCUGUGCCUGGCCUUCGGCUGGGAGGCAGCGCAGGGCCCAGGGGUGGUGUGGAGCAAGAGCCCCUGCGGGAGGAGAAGGAGGAAAUCAUGCUGCAUGUGAGGCCCAAGUGGAGCCUGGUGGCUUGCAUGUCUAUGGAGCCCUCUUGCACCUGAACAAGACCUGAGGCCAGGCCUCUAGGCCCGCUGCCCCACCUGCACCUUUCCUGGAUUCCUCCCGCGACGCCCGGCAGCCCUCCGUGGCUGGAAGGAGCUCCUCAGAUGCACGGAGCUCCGGCAGGUCGAGCAGGCCUGCGCCCCUGCCAUGCACCUCCUUGGGGACCCUCUCAGCCGUGAAGACGGGGCAGGUAGGAGCCCGUCCCUGUCCCUAGCAUUUCGCCAGGUAUGUCUCCUGGGCCAACCUGGCAACUGAGGGGGGAAAUGGAGGGGCCUGAGGCUGGGUUGCUGCAGGUUUUUCAGCUGCCUGGCCAUGUUCCAGAAGCUGGAACAUUUGGGCCUACUCCUAGGAUUUAUAGUUUCCUAAGGCCCCUUCUUCACAGCCAUAGAAAACAGAUUAUCAAGGCAGAUAAUCCACAUUUUCUGCUUUGAACCGGAUUAUAUGCAUCCACACAGCCAUAUAAUCCAGUUCAGAGCAGAUAGUCUGGAUUUUAUAUGGCAGGGUAUGGGUUCUUCUACAUAACCAUAUAAUUGAGAUUAUGAAGGCAAAUAAUCCAGAUCAUAUGCGUUGAACCAGAUUAUAUGCAUCCACACAGCCAUAUAAUCCAGUUCAAAGCAGAUAGUCUAGAUUUUAUAUGGCAGGGUAUGGGUUCUUCUACAUAACCAUAUAAUUCAGAUUAUCAAGGCAGAUAAUCCACAUUAUCUGCCUUGAACUGGGUUAUCUGAGUCUACACUGCCAUAUAAUCCAGUUCAAAGCAGAUAACCUGCAUUUUAUAUGGCAAUACAGAAAGGGCCUAAGGGUAUAUUGUAGUGUAUAUUGUAGUGGUGUACUUCAGAGGGAUGCAUAUAUCUCACCAAAGGGCAGCUGUACUUUGGAAUUAAUGCAGUUUGACUCCAAUUUCGUUGCCAUGGCUCAAUGCUAUGAAACCCUGGGAAUUGUAGUUUUAUAAGGUCUUUAAACCUUCUCUGCAAAAUACUUUAGAUGCCUCACUGAACUAUAACUCCCAGGAUUCCAUAGCAUUGAGCCGUGGGCAGUGAAAGUGGAGUCAAACUAUGUUAAUUCCACAGUGCAGACACACCACAAUGCCUCACUUCUUCCAAUGGAGAAAUAAAGAUACAAGUGCCAGUUAAGUCCAGUGGAUUUCUUUAUUCAUACCAGGGGUCCCCAAACUUUUUAAACAGGGGGCCAGUUCACGAUCCUUCGGACCGUUGGAGGGCCAGACUAUAGUUGGCCACCAAGCAAUAAUAAAUAAAUAUAUAAAUAAAUAACAAUAACAAUAACAAUAACAAUAAAAAAGAGGGUUGGAAGACACCCUUUGGGCCAUUGAGUCCAAUCCCCUUCUGCUUUGUGCAUCAAAAGCACAAGCAAAGCACCCCUGACAGAUGACCACCCAGCAUCAAUGUUAAUAAUAAUAAUAAUAAUAAUAAGAAGAAGAAGAAGAAGAAGAAGGGGAAGAGGAAGAAGAAGAAGAAAGAGGGUUAGAAGAGACCCCUUGGGCCAUUUAGUCCAACCCCCUUCUGCCUCUGUGCACCAAAAGCACAAGCAAAGCAUCCCUGAUAGAUGGCCACCCAGCCUCAAUAAUAAUAAUAAUAAUAAUAAUAAUAAUAAUAAUAAUAAUAAUAAUAAUAAUAAAAUAAUAAUAAUAGGAUUGGAAGAGACCCCUUCGGCCAUUUAGUCCAACCCCCUUCUGCCUCUGUGCACCAAAAGCACAAGCAAAGCAUCCCUGAUAGAUGGCCACCCAGCCUCAAUAUUAAUAAUAAUAAUAAUAAUAAUAAUAAUAAUAAUAAUAAUAAUAAUAGGAUUGGAAGAGACCCCUUGGGCCAUUUAGUCCAACUACCUUCUGCCUCUGUGCACCAAAAGCACAAGCAAAGCAUCCCUGAUAGAUGGCCACCCAGCCUCAAUAUUAAUAAUAAUAAUAAUAAUAAUAAUAAUAAUAAUAAUAAUAAUAAUGAUUGUAAGAGAAGAAGAGACCCCUUGGGUUACUUAACCCAACCCCCUUCUGCCCUUGUGCCGUGGGGCUGGAUAAAUGGCUUCGAUGGGCUGCAUCCGGCCCCCGGGCCUUAGUUUGGGGACCCCUGAUUCAUACCAUAUGGAGAGGGGCAGAUUUCUCGCCCUUUUCAUGAUAUUGUUUAAACUUCCACUCUAUGUCUAAUUUUUGUUUUGUGUAAGGUAAAGGUAAAGGUUUCCCCUGACGUUAAGUCCAGUCAUGUCUGACUCUGGGAGUUGGUGCUCAUCUCCAUUAAGCCAAAGAGCCAGUGUUGUCCGUAGACACCUCCAAGGUCAUGUGGCCACUGGCAUGACUGCAUGGAGCGCUGUUACCUUCCCGCCGGAAGUGGUACCUAUUGAUCUACUCACAUUGGUAUGUUUUCAAACUGCUAGGUUGGCAAAAGCUGGAGCUAACAGCGGGUGCUCACUUUGCUCCCUGGAUUUGAAACUGGGACCUUUCGGUGUGCAAGUUCAGCAGCUCAGUGCUUUAACACACUUCGCUACCGGGACUCCUUUUUGUUUUGUGUACUUUAUGGAAAUAUGUUUCCAUAUGUAUAUUUUACGGAGUGUUUUUAAAUUAUUAUGUGUUCUAGCAAUGUUGUUAACCGUCUUGAGCGGGUAAGAAAUAAAAUUAUCAUUAUCAUUAUCA